AGAAAAGUAAGCUAAAAUAAGCUAAUGGGUUCAUACCCCAUUUAUGGAGUUUAAAUACUCUCUUCUCUA
RNAcentral lists this transfer RNA (69 nucleotides) under Melanozosteria nitida. RNAcentral's name for it is "tRNA-Met". The record is from RNAcentral. Lineage: Eukaryota; Metazoa; Arthropoda; Insecta; Blattodea; Blattidae.